Long non-coding RNA from Symphalangus syndactylus (siamang), 4815 nucleotides. RefSeq lists it as uncharacterized. NCBI's taxonomy places the organism in Eukaryota, Metazoa, Chordata, Mammalia, Primates, Hylobatidae. The record is from RefSeq and is a predicted model, not a curated record.
UCUCUAUGAUCCUGUUCAGAUUAGAAAAGGUUUAAUUGAAAACUUAUAGCUUGAAGUUUGGCUAAACAGCACUUUAAGGAUCUGAAGAUGGUGACCAAACAUCGUGAUUUCCUAUUAAAAAAAAAAUCUUAUCUCAAGAUAAUGAGAUGAUUUUUUUCCGUGUUACGUGCGUAAGCUUAUUCCAAGAUGAAAGGGUCUAAGUACACACAGCAGGAUAAUAUUUUAAAAUAUUAACCAAUUUUCCCCCUUUCCUCCUGCCUGUUCUUCCUUUUACCUGUUCACCUCUUUCAAGCUAGGCUGUUCCAAAUUCAUUAUCUCAGGAAGCAGUGACCUAGGGGAAACCUGGAGUUUUUUCCUGGCUUUUGAAUUUCAAAAGUCUUGCCCUGAGAAAAAAUGCAAAGAACUUGUAAGCAUUAUAAAAUAGCUGGCAUUCCUGAGAACUUUCUGUGUUAUAUGUACCAUUUAAAGCAUGCUUGUGUGUGUGUGUGUGUGUGUGUGUGUGUGUGUUUGCUUUUCUCUACAACUCAGUAAGAUAGGUACUCUUAAUACCCCUAUUUUACAGAUGAGAAAACUGAGGUAGAGAGAAAUGGAGUACUUUGCCCAUCAUAGCAUCUCUGGUGAGUAGCAGAAUUGGCUCACUAUUCCAGCAGUGUGUCUCCAGUGCUCACAUUUCAAACCACUGCACCAACCUCCUUGUUAAUGUGCAGGAAGUUCUUGGGAAUGUACUCAGUAUUUCCACCUGUGAAAAGGAAGGGAUUUUUUUUUUUUUUUUUAGCAGCAUUGGAUAGGAGAAGAAGCUGGGCUCUGGGGUGACGCAAGAAAGCCUUUGGCUGACCAGAGAGAUCUGAGGCUGGAGUGACCCUUCAGAGCCAUCUCAAACUGGGGCAACGCAUUUGGGUCUUCAUAUUCCUGCAUGGACCAGUCAUUGGAUGCAGGCUGCCCUGAGACAGGGACCUUCAAAGAAAAUGCAUUUUCUUCACUGAGCUCGCCUAGAACCGUGAGUGAUUAAUCAGCACGGUCCUCUGCCUGGAAGAUGGCUGGGAAUUGGGACAAACAACUGCCUCAUAGGAAACCAAGUACAGUAGACGUGGAUGAAGAAUUGCUGUGCUUGGCAACUGGGAAAGAAUUUGGUUUCUUCUGAAGACCAACAGGGAGAAACUGACUACUGAUUAAAGCUGCGUGACGUACUGCAAUUGCGUUCUCAGGAGGUUGCCCAAAUCUUUUCCUAAUUUAGGUUUGUAUGGGUUUCCCUCCUAGUCAUUCAUUACAUAAAAGCAGUUUGUUUCAAAGACAGACUCGGCAGGCCGGGCACAGUGGCUCAUGCCUGUAAUCCCAGCACUUUGGGAGGCCGAGGCGGGCGAAUCACGAGGUCAGGCAUUCGAGACCAGCCUGGCCAACAUAGUGAAACCCCGUCUCUACUAAAAAUACAAAAAAUUAGCUGGGCGUGGUGGCGGGCACCUGUAAUCCCAGCUACUCAGAAGUCUGAGGCAGGAGAAUUGUUUGAACCUGGGAAGCCAGAGGUUGAAGUGAGCCGAGAUCACGCCACUGCACUCCAGCCCGGGGAACAGUGCAAGACUCCUCUCAAAAAAAAAAAAAAAAAGACAGACUCGGCAAAACUGCUGGGGUCUGCACCUUUGCCCCUGAACAUCAUAAAAUCCCAUCUUGGUGCCAAAAGUGGACGAUGCUUUCAGAGGCUUAGAUGAAGUUUCAUUUUGAAACCUGGUUUUGAAAUGCCUGGGAAUGAUAAGCCAGCUCAGGGCAAAGUUGGGAAAUACUAAUGCUGCUAGCAACUAAGCCAGAUUUUGUUCACAAAAGUUUAGGCCCAGAGGUCUUCCUGGUGAGCAACUUAUCCCUGAAGAGAGAUCAAGCAUUUGCCCAAACUGCAAAAUCUCAAAACAGCAGGAUACGAAGGUUGAUCCACUUGGAAAUCCAGGAAAGCAAGAAGAUCAAGGUCCUGCACAUACAGUGGUUGGCCAGACAUUGGAGCAUCACACUGGGAUUGGUCCCCACUGCUGGAUUCCUUUUUGCCAUGGAUGGAUGGCAGCUUAAGACAUUUGGUGAAGUUGAAGCACCAUGCUGUAAAUUUUUUCUAAAUCCAGGAAUUGGUUCCACUGCCAGCAGGGACUGCUUGGUGAAAGAUGACAAGAGUUAUUGAAAAUGACAGACUGUAUUUUGCAGAACGACCUUGUUUUCUUCUAUUUAUUGCCUAGUAAACGGAAUGUUCGUGGGAAAGAAUUUUUAGGCACCCUCGUGUUUGUCUUUGGAAUAUAUUUUCCUACAUAUGGUAGCACACAGCUUCUCCAUAAAGGAUCGUCAACAGAGAUCAUUUGUUGCAAUUCUAUGGUUACAAGUACGAGGAAAUAGGGACAAAUAUGAUAAAUAUGAGAACUUAAAUAACUUGUUCAAGGUCAUCAGAUUAGUUAGCAGCCAAAGUUAAACCCAAGACUCAAGAUUCCCAGUGAACUGCACAUGUCCCCAUAAGCAAAUACAGACAUUUCAAACCAGAUUUCUCCCACCCUCCCUCCCAAACUCAUUUUUCAUGAAAAUCUUUUUUUUUCUUUCCUGGGACUAAUUACAAACUUAGAGUUCAGGCACUGAGUGAAACCCAACUAUUAUUGCUUCAGGUUCUGUCGGGGUAAAUAUUUAAGGCAGAGAUUUUCUGACUGUGCCCUGUGAAGCCUCCUCAGGAGCCACUGCAUGGUUAUAAUCACAUGUGAGUGUGUGCAUGUGUGUGUGGCUCAUACGCACAUGUAUGUGCAUGUGUAAUGGAGGCAAGGCUUAACAUCUUGUCCCCCAACUUUGAUAAGAUUGACUCUUUGUAACCCACUUACUCUGGUAAGAUUUUGUUGGAAAAACAACAACAAAAAUGCCUAUGAUGUCAGACAUGCCUGGAAACACACAUCAUCAUAUCCCAUCAUUACUUUUCUUUGAGUCCCAGAAGAAAAAAAUUCUAUUUUAAUUGUAAAAUUAUCAUGUACAGUAUAGAGUCCAAUACUGUUGACAGUUUAUCACUUUGGGCUUUCUGGUUUUCAUGCUCCAUUCAUUAUUUAUUGGCUGGUUUUUAUUUGUUGGCUUGCUUUCUGUUUAAUGAUCAGUGUGGCUAGCAGACAUUUUAUAUGUAGUAUCAUUUUUUUCAUAUGCAUACUUGAAAAUCAAAACUUUACAAUAGAACAAUAUGCUGAUGCACCAAAUUGAUCAGUUUGGGCCACAAGCUUGGAUCUUUCCAAAAGAAUACAGAUGCUCCUUGACUUGUGAUUGGUUACGUCCCAAUAAACCCAUCGCUUCAUAAAUUGAAAAUGCAUUUAAUAUACCCAACCUACUGAUCAUAACUGCUUAGCCUAGCCUCCCUUAAGCAUGCUCAAACACUUAUAUUAGCCUACAGUUGGGCAAAAACAUCUGGCAACACAGUCCACUGUAGAGUAUCAGGUGUUUCACCUUGUGUUCACAAGGCUGACUGGGCCAUGUGCUCACUACCUCUGCCCAGUAUUUUGAGAUAGUGUCAUACCACAUAUUGCUAUCCAAAGAAAAGAUCAAAAUCCAAAAUUCGAAAAUCAGUUUCUACUGAAAGAUUAUUGCCUUCACACCAUUGUGAAGUCAAAAAACCAAAGCCCAACCAUCGUAAGUUGGGGGUCAUCUGCACAACUGAUAAAGGCACAUCAGAAUAUUACUUUUGAUAAUAAAUGUACAAACUGUAGUAUCCCCACAGCCUGGUAUGUAGACCUGAAAUACUGUGGGGGCAUCCCCUCUCCUCCCUUCCACACCCACAACACAGGUUUUGUCCUGAAAGCAGGACAUUUGGUGGAAUAGAAAACGUAGAAAGUGUUAAACUUCAGACUUAGCUGUGAAUUCAGAUGGAAAUGAUUUGGUAGCUGUGGCUUACUCACAAGUAAAUAAUAUACCUGAAGGUAUCUGAAAAUUAUCUUUCUUUCAUGAGCGUACAGUUUUGCUGGCUUUGCCUCAAGGCAAAUAACCACGGGAGAGUUAAUACAGAAAGUUCUUAUUAGAAAUUCCUUAUAACCAGGGUAGACUAAUUAGCUCUUCCUAAGAGUUCAUUUUGAGGUUGGAGAAAGCAUGAAAGCAGUGGAAACUGGCAUGGGAGAUGGAAUGUCACUGGGGGCACAAACAGAAUCACGUGGUGGUAUGCAAGGGAAAGAUGCUGAAGACCAGCUCUACCUAUGUUAUAAACUAAAAAGAAGCAGGGGGAGCUAAAAUUUGGAAUCUAAAGCUAUUAUUUUUCUGACUUAUCCAGUGCAAAUAACCCAAUACAGACAUAUAAUAUAUGCUACAGGUUUUUAAAGGCAAAAUUGUCUUACUCCUUUCUGCAUAUCCAAUGCCUAAUAUAGAACCUGACACACUGUAAUUCCUCCUUAAAUGUUUAUUGUUUUUAGUAAAUAAGUGAGUAUUUAACACACACCCGUGUAUAUGUGUUUCUCUACCAGAGAAAAUAAUUUCUUGUUUCUUAGAUUGAUGUAUUCCAUGGUAGUACAUAGGAAAUUAGAUGCCCUUUUCAUCUAAUAUGCAUGCAAUUGACCAUUCUGAACUAAGAAAUUGGACUUCUUUGAAUUCUGAUGCUCUCAGACAAAAAUAGAGAUAAAUGUUUAACCAUCCUUCUCUGUGCCCUCAUGGAACUGUGUGGCCUCCUUGGGCUGGCUCAUUUAACAUUGAAUGUAUAAGUUAGAGUCCUCAUCUGUCAGUAACAGAAGACGGUAGAGUUAGUACAAAAAAAUUCUUCCUCACCUGUAAUGUAAAGCAAAACAAAAAUAUGCAAGAAUAUUUUGAGAUAUCAGGUCUAUAAAACCGUUGACAUAUGCAUAC